Molecule: ribosomal RNA, 468 nt
Filed under: uncultured bacterium
Lineage: Bacteria
Description: partial 16S ribosomal RNA
Rfam family: Bacterial small subunit ribosomal RNA
Source: RNAcentral
GACGAACGCUGGCGGCGUGCUUAACACAUGCAAGUCGAACGGAAAGGCCCUGCUUUUGUGGGGUGCUCGAGUGGCGAACGGGUGAGUAACACGUGAGUAACCUGCCCUUGACUUUGGGAUAACUUCAGGAAACUGGGGUUAAUACCGGAUAGGAGCUCCUGCUGCAGGGGGGGGGUUGGAAAGUUUCGGCGGUUGGGGAUGGACUCGCGGCUUAUCAGCUUGUUGGUGGGGUAGUGGCUUACCAAGGCUUUGACGGGUAGCCGGCCUGAGAGGGUGACCGGCCACAUUGGGACUGAGAUACGGCCCAGACUCCUACGGGAGGCAGCAGUGGGGAAUAUUGCACAAUGGGCGGAAGCCUGAUGCAGCAACGCCGCGUGCGGGAUGACGGCCUUCGGGUUGUAAACCGCUUUCGCCUGUGACGAAGCGUGAGUGACGGUAAUGGGUAAAGAAGCACCGGCUAACUACGUG